UAAGUAUUCCCUCCAUCCCAAAUUCUUUUCUUUGAUUUGUCUAAGUAUGAAUGUAUCUAGUCAUGUUAUAGUAUUUAGAUACAUCUAUUUCUAGACAAACCUAAGACAAGAACUUUGAGACGGAGGGAGUAUUAA
This is a non-coding RNA of Hordeum vulgare subsp. vulgare (domesticated barley), 135 nucleotides long. Lineage: Eukaryota; Viridiplantae; Streptophyta; Magnoliopsida; Poales; Poaceae. The record is from Rfam.